Unclassified non-coding RNA from Macaca mulatta (Rhesus monkey), 148 nucleotides. It matches the Rfam family "Metazoan signal recognition particle RNA". Rfam says of the family: The signal recognition particle (SRP) is a universally conserved ribonucleoprotein. Lineage: Eukaryota; Metazoa; Chordata; Mammalia; Primates; Cercopithecidae. The record is from Ensembl.
GCCAGGCAUAGUGGCUUGUACCUGUAGUCCCAGCUACUUGGGAGGCUGAGGCAGGAGGAUUGCUUGAGCCCAAGAGGUCAAGGCUGCAGUGAGCCAUAAUUUCAUCACUGCACUCCAGCCUGGGCAACAGAGUAAGACCCUGUCUCAA